This 72-nucleotide transfer RNA is filed under the name Bos taurus (domestic cattle). It matches the Rfam family "tRNA". Rfam says of the family: Transfer RNA (tRNA) molecules are approximately 80 nucleotides in length. The record is from Rfam by way of RNAcentral. Lineage: Eukaryota; Metazoa; Chordata; Mammalia; Artiodactyla; Bovidae. RNAcentral also lists the same sequence under 4 other names.
UCCUUGGUGGUCUAGUGGUUAAGAAUCUGCCUUCCAGUGCAGGAGAUGCAGGUUCAAUCCCUGGUCAGGGAA